GAUGGGAUUCCCGAGUGGUUAAAGGGAGCAGACUGUAAAUCUGCCGUCUAAGACUUCGAAGGUUCGAAUCCUUCUCCCAUCA
This is a transfer RNA of 82 nucleotides. It matches the Rfam family "tRNA". From Rfam's summary of the family: Transfer RNA (tRNA) molecules are approximately 80 nucleotides in length. Their secondary structure includes four short double-helical elements and three loops (D, anti-codon, and T loops).